AACGCACAUUGCGCCCCUUGGUAUUCCAUGGGGCAUGCCUGUUCGAGCGUCAUUUGUACCCUCCAGCCCUGCUGGGUGUUGGGCGUUUUGUUCCGCUGCACGCGUGAACUCGCCUCAAAUGCAUUGGCAGCCCGCCGUCCCGUGUGGGAGCGCAGCACAUUUUGCGCUCUCCGCUGCUGACGGUGGCAUCCACAAGUCUACCAUUUUACGCUUGACCUCGGAUCAGGUAGGGAUACCCGCUGAACUUAA
Molecule: unclassified non-coding RNA, 249 nt
Filed under: uncultured Pleosporales
Lineage: Eukaryota; Fungi; Ascomycota; Dothideomycetes; Pleosporales
Also listed under: 1 other name
Description: sequence contains ITS2
Source: RNAcentral